ACCCCAAGCCUGGCGAGCCCAAGUACUACGGCAAGAAGACCGCGCAUAGGAAGAAGGCCUACUCCGAUGGGUAUCUGGCGUUACAUCCUGACACACCUGACCCCAUUGCGGCGGAUCUGGACGAAAGGGUGGUGGUGGGCAUGGGGCCGAAGGAUCACGGUCGGGAGGCGGUUCUCGAUGCUGUGAUCACUCCUACUAUCUCCUACACACAGCUCCGUCGGAUCGACCUGACCCUGAGCCAGCGCCCGAGCACGCCCAUGAGCAGUGCACCGUCACUGUCCCUCUUUCAGGAGCAGCAAACUAUAAGCCUACAUGGAGUACACACGCCAGGAGACCAUGGCGUGGCACAACCGCCUUCAUGCAUACCAUCAGCAGAGGGAUCGCCAGAUGCAGCACGCUUUUCAGGAAAUGGCGGCCGACAGGUGUCCUCAAUAGCCAUCAGCAGAGGGUCCUCCAGCAAAACCAACGUUGCUGACCUUUGAGGAGUUUGUGGCACAGAACGUUGGCCCCUCGCCGGGAACCGGUGGAUCAACCGUUGGCGGUGGUGUUCGCAGCACUCCCGAGUCACGAAGCUCGACCACUCCCAUCCAUGGAGGCGGAGGCGGAGGUGGAGGCGGUCUUGGCGGUAGCGCUGCCGCUAGCACUGAUGACCUGGGCUUCAGCGGUCUUGGCGGUGACGACCUCCGCGGUGCUCGACGUCCUGGCGCUUAAGCCUUUCGGUUACUUGUGUGCUUAUGCUUAUGUUUCUUUAGAUGACUUGUGUGUGGUGAUGAUGAUAAACUUGUGGUCUCUGAUGGUCCUUUAGAUGACUUGUGUGCUUGUCUUAUAUGCUUAUGCUUAUGUUUAUGUUGAUUGUGAUGAUGCUUAUGCAUAUAUUGUUGUG
Triticum aestivum (bread wheat) is the source of this 883-nucleotide long non-coding RNA. RefSeq lists it as uncharacterized. The transcript has 3 exons. Lineage: Eukaryota; Viridiplantae; Streptophyta; Magnoliopsida; Poales; Poaceae. The record is from RefSeq and is a predicted model, not a curated record.